RNAcentral lists this long non-coding RNA (684 nucleotides) under Homo sapiens (human). Its description in RNAcentral is "long non-coding RNA NONHSAT151974.1". Lineage: Eukaryota; Metazoa; Chordata; Mammalia; Primates; Hominidae. The record is from RNAcentral.
CCUUUGAGUAAGUGAAAUGAAGCGUGAAUAACUGCCUAAUUAGUGGACAUGAAAACUGGACAGUCUCCAAAGUCAUCAGAGAUGACCACGCUUGCCAGGCAACUUACUAGACUAAGACUACUGCUGGGGCAGGCGGUGGGAACAGAUGUAGAGAGGGCACACAAUGAGCCUCACGUAAGCAUCAGGUACUACAUUUAGGAAGAGAGAUGGUUCAGUGAGUGCAGACUAUGCAGGAGAAGUGACACAGAAGCCUGAUGGAGGUGAUGAUACCCAGUGGCCAUGGGACUUUGUCAGCAAAGGCAGUGAUAAACAGCAUGAGAGUGAGGAUGCAGUGGCCAGAAGAGGCAGCCCAGGGAAGAUCUGAGGUGAACCCUCUGGUUGGAAAGCCUUGGCAAAUUGGAGGAAUGAAAAGAAAAAAGGUGACGUGCCCAUCAUGCAGGAAGCUUCUCCAAGGCUGGCGAGAGCAACUUGUCUGCUUUGAGAAAUGCAGAUCUAUCAGGAUCCAGAAUCGGACUCUGAAAAAGCUGUCAUUUCAUGUCUCUAAAACAGCCUUUGAUUUAAUGUACAAGAUGUCAAGAAGUAAAGGACAAUAAAAUAAAAACCAAAAAAGGAGAACUAUUUCAAUUAAGAAGCAUUCCUAUAUCAAUUCUUGGAAAUCACAUAAAAUAAAAGCUGUCAGAAUCA